AGGUUAAGUUAAUAAGGGCGCACGGUGGAUGCCUAGGCACUAGGAGCCGAUGAAGGACGUGACGAACGACGACAUGCUUUGGGGAGCUGUAAGUAAGCCUUGAUCCAGAGAUAUCCGAAUGGGGGAACCCAACAGGUAAUGCCUGUUAUCCAUAACUGUUAAGGUUAUGAGAAGGAAGACGCAGUGAACUGAAACAUCUCAGUAGCUGCAGGAAGAGAAAGCAAGAGCGAUUGCCUCAGUAGCGGCGAGCGAAGAGGCAGGAGGGCAAACCAGAGUGUUUACACUCUGGGGUUGUAGGACUGCGAUAAAGCAGCCAAGGGAAUAGAAGAAGACUCUGGGAAGAGUCGCCAGAGAGAGUAAGAGCCUCGUAUUUGAAAUUCACUUGAUGCCAAGCAGGAUCCUGAGUACGGCGGGACACGAGGAAUCCCGUCGGAAUCUGGGAGGCCCAUCUCCCAACCCUAAAUACUCCCUAGUGACCGAUAGUGAACCAGUACCGUGAGGGAAAGGUGAAAAGUACCCCGGAAGGGGAGUGAAAGAGAACCUGAAACCGUGUGCUUACAAGAAGUUCGAGCCCGUUAAUGGGUGAGAGCGUGCCUUUUGUAGAAUGAACCGGCGAGUUACGUUUACGUGCGAGGUUAAGUUGAAGAGACGGAGCCGUAGGGAAACCGAGUCUGAAAAGGGCGGUUAAGUACGUAGAUGUAGACCCGAAACCAAGUGACCUACCCAUGAGCAGGUUGAAGGUGCGGUAAAACGCACUGGAGGACCGAACCAGGACACGUUGAAAAGUGUUUGGAUGACUUGUGGGUAGCGGAGAAAUUCCAAACGAACUUGGAGAUAGCUGGUUCUCUCCGAAAUAGCUUUAGGGCUAGCGUCGG
Molecule: ribosomal RNA, 875 nt
Filed under: Streptococcus mutans NLML1
Lineage: Bacteria; Bacillati; Bacillota; Bacilli; Lactobacillales; Streptococcaceae
Description: bacterial LSU rRNA
Rfam family: Bacterial large subunit ribosomal RNA
Source: RNAcentral